This 238-nucleotide ribosomal RNA is filed under the name uncultured bacterium. Its description in RNAcentral is "partial 16S ribosomal RNA". It matches the Rfam family "Bacterial small subunit ribosomal RNA", at positions 96 to 334 of the family's 1533-position model. The record is from RNAcentral.
UGGCGGACGGGUGAGUAACGCGUGGGUAACCUGCCUCAUACAGGGGGAUAACGAUUGGAAACGAUUGCUAAUACCGCAUAAGCGCACAGUACCACAUGGUACAGUGUGAAAAACUCCGGUGGUAUGAGAUGGACCCGCGUCUGAUUAGCUAGUUGGUGGGGUAACGGCCUACCAAGGCGACGAUCAGUAGCCGACCUGAGAGGGUGACCGGCCACAUUGGGACUGAGACACGGCCCAA